Molecule: ribosomal RNA, 254 nt
Filed under: uncultured bacterium
Lineage: Bacteria
Description: partial 16S ribosomal RNA
Rfam family: Bacterial small subunit ribosomal RNA
Source: RNAcentral
UACGGGGGGAGCAAGCGUUGUUCGGAUUUACUGGGCGUAAAGGGCGCGUAGGCGGUCGUGACAAGUCACUUGUGAAAUCUCCGGGCUUAACUCGGAACGGUCAAGUGAUACUGUCGGACUAGAGUACAGAAGGGGCAACUGGAAUUCUCGGUGUAGCGGUGAAAUGCGUAGAUAUCGAGAGGAACACCUGCGGCGAAGGCGGGUUACUGGGCUGAUACUGAUGCUGAGGCGCGAAAGCCAGGGGAGCGAACGGG